RNAcentral lists this ribosomal RNA (217 nucleotides) under uncultured bacterium. RNAcentral's name for it is "partial 16S ribosomal RNA". It matches the Rfam family "Bacterial small subunit ribosomal RNA", at positions 126 to 334 of the family's 1533-position model. The record is from RNAcentral.
CUACCUCGAGGAUUGGAAUAACACGUCGAAAGAUGUGCUAAUGCCAAGUAAGCCUCCAGAGUUAUAAAGACUUUGGUUGGAAAGCUGGCGCAAGCAAGCGCCUUGAGACGAGCCUGCGUUCCAUUAGUUUGUUGGUGGGGUAAUGGCUUACCAAGACUACGAUGGAUAACUGGUCUGAGAGGAUGAUCAGUCACACUGGAACUGAAACACGGUCCAG